GAGGGUGUAGCUCAGAGGCAGAGUGUGUGCUUAGCAUGCACGAGGUCCUGGGUUCAAUCCCCGGUGCCUCCA
Molecule: transfer RNA, 72 nt
Filed under: Camelus ferus (Wild Bactrian camel)
Lineage: Eukaryota; Metazoa; Chordata; Mammalia; Artiodactyla; Camelidae
Rfam family: tRNA
About the family: Transfer RNA (tRNA) molecules are approximately 80 nucleotides in length. Their secondary structure includes four short double-helical elements and three loops (D, anti-codon, and T loops).
Source: Rfam by way of RNAcentral